RNAcentral lists this ribosomal RNA (460 nucleotides) under uncultured bacterium. RNAcentral's name for it is "bacterial SSU rRNA". It matches the Rfam family "Bacterial small subunit ribosomal RNA", at positions 27 to 507 of the family's 1533-position model. The record is from RNAcentral.
CGGACGAACGCUUGCGGCGUGCCUGAGAAAUGCAAGUCGAGCGGGGUGUAGCAAUACACCUAGCGGCGAACGGUCGAGUAACACGUAAGCAACCUGCCCUGCAGUGGGGGAUAACAGCGGGAAACUGCUGCUAAUACCGCAUAGGCAUAUUUCUGGGCAUCCAGGGAUGUGUAAAGGCUAGACUGCUGCAGGAGGGGCUUGCGGCCUAUUAGCUAGUCGGUGGGGUAACGGCCUACCGAGGCGACGAUGGGUAGCUGGUCUGAGAGGAUGGUCAGCCGGAUCGGGACUGAGACACGGCCCGGACUCCUACGGGAGGCAGCAGUGGGGAAUAUUGCGCAAUGGGGGGAACCCUGACGCAGCGACGCCGCGUGAGCGACGAAGGCCUUCGGGUCGUAAAGCUCUGUUCUUGGGGACGAAGGAAAUGACGGUACCCAAGGAGAAAGCCCCGGCUAACUACGUG